Molecule: long non-coding RNA, 2251 nt
Organism: Brassica napus (rape)
Lineage: Eukaryota; Viridiplantae; Streptophyta; Magnoliopsida; Brassicales; Brassicaceae
Exons: 3
Source: RefSeq, a predicted model, not a curated record
UAAAUGAGACAUAAGAAACUCUACGAUUCCUUAUGCUCUAAAUGAGACAUAAGAAACUCUACGAUUCCUUAGUGAGGUGAAUCAUUCCACCUACACGGUUAGUUCUGAAAACCUAUUCCUAACAUGAUAGUGAUCCUAAGUAUUUUAAUCGACGAUGGCUUCCUGAAAAUUUAAUUAAAAAUAAAGAAUCAAAAACAUUAAAAUUUGUCCUAAACUUUAUUAUACUAAACUAAAUUUCUGGAAUUGGGGCCUCCAAAAUUUUAAUAUAUUAACAGGGCCUAUGGCAAAAGCUUUUCAUGGAAUGUAGAAUGAACAACCCUCUAUAUACAUAUAUACACUCUUUUCAUUUAAAUGAUAUUAGCCAUUUUCACCGUGGGAAGGUUCCUCUGCAUGGGAUCUUAUCUUUAACCUCAGUUUUAUUCUAAGGUGAAGUUCCUGUGGAAUGGGCGGUGGCGCAUGGGUUACUCUUCCACUUUGUGUCUUACCGAAGGAGUCUUGCUUCCUCUUUUCUCAGGAAGUUUCAACAUUUUUCAGCAUUCGUGUUUCUUGUUUCUCCAUAUCGCUGGCGGCUCAAUGUUUAUGAAGCAGUCGUGUGUCAGCUUUAUAACUUUGGCGACGGCGCGUGUGUGUCUGCUGCUCGGUUGUUAGCAUAAUGUCUUUUAUGUGUCCGGAUAGAUUGAGUCGCAGCUUCUUCCUCUUUUCCUUUUCGGGUCACCACAUUCUCUUCUUUUCGUUCUUGGAAAUCGAUCGCGACAUUUUGGUUUUUAGUUCUCGUCCAUGUCUCUUCCUCUUGGUGCCAAUCUUUCGAUUGUUUGGUGCGCUUGGUGCCAAAUUACAGCCUGUAAGACCUCUGGGUCUCAGAGGCUGAGCAUGAGUGUCUCCUGGUUCUUAUCUCCCUUGUCAUUUGGAUUGCUCGGGUUUUGGUGGCAGGGUGUGUAGAAUUGCAUCAUUCCAGGGGUGGAGCCUAUGUUUCUUGUUUUUCUCUAGUGGAUGUUAGUUGCAGGACUUGGUUAUGCAAUGGGAUGUAAUACGGCAGCCUUUCAACCCAUUUUCAUCUUUACUUUUGGUAAUGUCGAGUACCUUCGGUUUUGGAUCUUGGUCAAAUCUGUCUUAGGAUUUUGAUGAGUUUGUGUCAUGACAUGUCAUCAGUCUUUAUUGGACCCAUGCUAAGAAUAGGUACCGUUAGCCCUUGUUGGGUUCUUGCAGAGAGUCUUUGUGCUCAAAGCAUUCGUGGGGGACCAGGAUUUAUACAUUGUAAUGUCCUUGGGAGACUAGGGUUCGUUCUCAUUGACAUUGUCAGAUGUCCUAGCCAAUUUUGUAAUUGUAGAUCAUGUUGUAUAAUAACUAGAAUUCUAGUCUUAUUGUGUUGUUCUUAAAAUCUUUUCAACUUUUUAGGACUUACAUGUUAACUUGUAUGUGUGUUCCAUUUUUAUUGAUGAAUAUUAAUAGGUUUGCAAAAAAAAAAAAAAAAUUGAUUGAAGAAAAUGAUUGGUCAACUUCAAAAUUAAAUAUUCGAAUUCAAAAACUUAAAUUUAAAAUUUAGAUAACAAAACUUAAAUUUAAACAAUCAAUAGCUAAGUAUUUGACCAAGACUGUCUAGGAUGUUAAUACAUUUAAUAAAAUUUUGAAUAACUGAUAGAAUAUUAAUGCAUUUACCUAGGCAUGAUACUAAAUAUAGGUGAAGUCAAGUGUUUGAAAAAAACGUGAUAUAAACGGAUUGAUUUACUUUUCCUACCAAAACUGAAUCUAGUCAAUUUCAUUAUAAAUAUGUCUUGUUUGAAAGAAAUGUAAAGCAAACUUUUUUUUAUCAAACAGUGUGAAAUAAAUCUUUAAGAACUUUUACAUAUUUCAACAUAGUUAUGGCAACCAAGAAGUUUCUAUCUCUUAUAUACUUGAUGGUGUUGGUUCAAAUCUUUCUACCAAUGAUUUCAGGACAAACCAAAGAAUGUUUUCUGCAACAACCAUGUGAAAACUCACCGACAUGCAAUGAGUUUUGUAAAUCUAAAGGAUACAUAAAAGGAGGAUAUUGUCAACACUAUCUUGGCCCAAAUCACAACAAUUGUUGCUGCUACCUUGUUGAUUCAGAAAAGUUUUUCAAAUUCGAUCAUACCAAUGUACUCAUUACUAAUUAGUUCAUCAUUGUAUUCAGUGCCAGUCCGGACUCAUAUAACGCCUAUAGCGUACUAAAAAAUAAUGGCUUUUAAACAUAUUAAUUUUUACUAUUUUUAAAUAUACUAAAAAUUAUAUCAAA